CCCUGCUCGCAUCUUGGCUUGCUGAGGCUGCGGGUCUUGGCCGGGCCUUCGAGAAUCCCCCGCCGCCUCCCCUUCUGGAUGUAUCUGCGCCGCCUCCUUUCUCCCUCCCCUUCCUUCCAGCCCUUCAUUCCCUCGGGGCGGGCGGGCAGGCCGGCAGGCCCCGCGCAAACCUGGGGAAAGGAGUCGACCUUUGAGACCUGCUUAUUCAUGGCUGUUUCACGGAUGUCGAAGUGGAGGCUCAGCAGGGUUGGAGGUUCCCGGAGUCUCCCAGCUGAAAUGGAAGUGCUUGGUGAGGUUUGGUGUGUCCGAGCCGAAGAGCAGCCAAUGACAGGCCUGGGGAUCGUCUGGCACAGCCCACUUGACAAGGCCUUGGAAACUUGGUCUCUGCAGCAGCAACCGGAUUUCAGCCUGGGCCUCGGACACCUCGGCCUGGGACUGUACAUCUUGGCCUCUUACCUACUGUGUCCGCGUCAGCCUCCCUCACAGCCUGAUGGCCCCUGCGGCAGCCCCAACCCGGUUUCAGGGGCUAAGAAAACUACAGUUGCAUGAACGGGUGGAGGUGAGUGGGAGGCAGAAGCGGCGGGGAGAACCAGUCUGUUCCGAGAUCUCUGGACCAACCAGUGGAUCCUGAUGGUCAGCCUUGUCUAGAGCCCCUUCCAGCGUGCAGGCCAGUCCUCCUGGCAUUCUUCUAAUUACACCGAGCUGUGAGUUAUGUGUGCCAAGUAUGUGCUGGAUUUUGUACCAAGUGCUUUCCAUUCAUCAGUUCAGGGUAGUGAUGCAGGUAGCUCCAGGCUCAGAGAGGAACAGUGACUUCUCCCAGGUCACACAGCUGGAAAGUGGCUGAGUCUGGAUUCAAACCCAGACUUCCUUGUUGCUAGGACCUGUAUUUUCAACCACUGCCUAUGCCUCUAUAACGAGCCAGCUUAUGGCUGUGUUCACGCAAAGAGAAAAGCAUCCAAAUGGGAAGGCUGGAGAAUUCAAGCAAUUUUCCCGCGUGUCAGACAGUCCUGUUUCCCUCUCCCUUCAAAAAAAGUCCUGGAUUAUCUCUCUCUCUCUCUCUCUCUUUCUUUUUCCUUUUCCUUUUUGUUUUUUUUCUUUGUUUGUUCUUUCUUUCUUUCUUUUUUUUUUUUUUUGAAACAGGGUAUUACUCUGUUACUCAGGCUGGAGUGCAGUGGUGUGAUCACAGCCCACUGCAGCCUUGAUGUACCUGUGUCCCUGGCCUCAGGUGAUCCUCCCACCUCAGCCUCCCAAGUAGCUGUGACUAUCCCGAGAAGCUGAGACUACAGGUGUGCGCAUGCCAUCACGCCUCACUAAUUAUUUUACUUUUUGUAAAGACAGGUUUUUUUCGCCAUGUUACUCAGACUGGUCUUGAACUCCUGGGCUUGAGUGAUCCAUCGGCUCCCAAAGUGUUGGGAUUACAGGCAUGAGCCACUGCACCUGGCCUGACAUCUCAGUCUUGAUUUGCACUUUUUGCCCAAAAUAAUCGAGUGUAAGGCAGGCCAGAAGUGGUCAGGGGGCAGGGACAGUCCCCAGCAGGGUGGCAAGUCUUUCUGCAACAUUUUUGGAAUACAAGCAGAAAGUGAUUUGCUAUUCCACACAAAACAUGAUUGGGAGGGCACUGGAUGAAUACAACUAAGAUCUAAGCAUUACUUCAACAAAUAUAUACACAGAGCUAAAUCAGUAUCAGGAAGUAGUGGAGAAGCACUCAGAAUAGGCACAGAUCUCCACAGCUGUUAAGAGUCUUGUUACUUUUUUUUUUUUUUUUUGAGAUGGAUUCUUGCUCUGUCGCCCAG
Long non-coding RNA from Homo sapiens (human), 1793 nucleotides. RefSeq annotates it as GRAPL antisense RNA 1. The record is from RefSeq and is marked validated. Lineage: Eukaryota; Metazoa; Chordata; Mammalia; Primates; Hominidae. The transcript is spliced from 4 exons.